RNAcentral lists this ribosomal RNA (791 nucleotides) under Orthochilus odontoglossus. RNAcentral's name for it is "eukaryotic LSU rRNA". The stretch from base 334 to 489 matches the Rfam family "5.8S ribosomal RNA". The record is from RNAcentral. Lineage: Eukaryota; Viridiplantae; Streptophyta; Magnoliopsida; Asparagales; Orchidaceae.
GACUUGGCGAGAAGUCCAUUGAACCUUAUCAUUUAGAGGAAGGAGAAGUCGUAACAAGGUUUCCGUAGGUGAACCUGCGGAAGGAUCAUUGUCGAGACCGUAGCAUACGCCGAGCGAUCCGGAGAACCCGUGAAAGCACUUGCGGCGGCCGCCGCGGAAUGGCCGUCCGGGCCGUCUCACCGUCUUCUUCUUUUGGGGGCAGGCGGUGCGGCGGAGGACGGAUGACAACACAAACCGGCGCAGCAUCGCGCCAAGGGAAACUCGAAGGGCACGAGCCCCGCGUUGGGCUCGAUGGCGUGGAGUGCUGUGGCACGCCACGCGGCAGUCGGACACGACUCUCGGCAAUGGAUAUCUCGGCUCUUGCAUCGAUGAAGAGCGCAGCGAAAUGCGAUACGUGGUGCGAAUUGCAGAAUCCCGCGAACCAUCGAGUCUUUGAACGCAAGUUGCGCCCGAGGCCAGCCGGCCGAGGGCACGUCCGCCUGGGCGUCAAGCUUCGCGUCGCUCCGUGCCAGCUCCGUUCCGCCAGAUGAGUGUGACGGCCGAGGCUCGGAAGCGCAGAGUGGCCCGUCGUGCCGGUCGGUGCGGCGGGCUAAAGAGCCCGCUGAUUCUCGCCGUACGAGAACAACAAGGGGUGGGUGAAAGCUGUGAGCACAGCCCGUGUUGUCCCGUGCCGGUACGAGAGUUGUAUUUAUGCCCUGUAGGCGACCCCGACCCAAGCGCCGGCCGGUGAGCGUCGGCUUUGGAAUGCGACCCCAGGAUGGGCGAGGCCACCCGCCGAGUUUAAGCAUAUC